Molecule: non-coding RNA, 1120 nt
Organism: Odocoileus virginianus texanus
Lineage: Eukaryota; Metazoa; Chordata; Mammalia; Artiodactyla; Cervidae
Source: RefSeq, a predicted model, not a curated record
UCUUUAAGAGAGAAUGUUCACAAUGGAGAACAGCAGCAAGAGUUAGAAGACUUUAAAAAGGAAGCUGUUAAUGCAGCAGUAAAACUUGGCCAGACUCCAAAGUUCACAAGACAAAGGCAAUGACUUUCUUAUUCCCCGUCAUGUAUCCAGUGAUGACUGUGCUGCCUGGAAGCUGCUUGUCUGGAAAUGGUGUUCAUCCUACAAGACUCAACUGAUGGACGUUUUUUUCCAAGUCUCAAGUUCAGUUUCAUCUCUGCAUUCCUCUCAUACCUUUGAAAGACUUGCAUUAUGGAAUUUAUCACAGUCUGUGCAGAAUGGCAUCGGCCUGGGUCAGAGAUCACACUCCACGAGGCUGGCAAGUGGCAUUAGUGAGGCAUUUUCCGGCAGGUCUAGCUGAAUGCUCUGGGCAGAGCAGCCUCUAGAUGGCAUAGACUGUUUUGAGAACUCCUUACUUGUCAUGGAAAGCCCGGGACCAUGAAACAGCUGUUUGGCUAAGUUCUGGAAUUAUGAGUAUGUGUUAGAAGACAUGAACUCAGACUGUAAUUGGGGUUCAGGCAAAUGCAAAUUUGAUUGAAGAAUUGCGUGUUUCUCCGGAGAGACUCAGUUAGAGGAAGAGACUGGAGCUUCCCAAGAGAAAAUCACCUGUUAGUGGAGUCAGCGUGCCUGUAGUGGUAUUGAAAUGUUGGAAGGAGUCAUGGCUGCCUGUGAUCAGGAGACUCUGCCCGAGUGGGCCACGUCCGGCCAUCCCUGCUCUGUCCUGGGAAAGAGACUACUGUGAAAUAGAAUGCCUUGUGCCCCUAGGGCCCUGAAGCCUCUGCUGUAGAAAACACCCUGAAAGAAUGGGUUAGACUCAGAAGCGCACAGUCUGUGCCUCAUUGGGGGUCUGGCAGGCAUAAGUGGAGAGACACGACGGCAGCAGACUGUGGAGGUCCAUGGAGCCGAAAGAUGGGGCAAGUGCAAAACCUGAAUGGAGGAAGCCUUGGGAGAAGCCCCCCUCCAUCUCUUCCCACUUGGCUGGCCAUCCAACUGAUUCCUGGAGGGCCCGCCUGUGAAGACUUCACUUCCUUGGUCGGUCUGAGCUCCUAGGAUGUAAGGUGUGGCUCCUGGUGUGGUACCCAGA